This 253-nucleotide ribosomal RNA is filed under the name uncultured bacterium. Its description in RNAcentral is "partial 16S ribosomal RNA". It matches the Rfam family "Bacterial small subunit ribosomal RNA", at positions 524 to 776 of the family's 1533-position model. The record is from RNAcentral.
UACGUAGGGGCCUAGCGUUGUCCGGAUUUAUUGGGCGUAAAGGGUGCGUAGGCGGUUUGGUAAGUCUGAUGUGAAAUCUAUGGGCUCAACUCAUAGUCUGCAUCGGAAACUGCCGGGCUUGAGUGUGGGAGAGGUGAGUGGAAUUCCUGGUGUAGCGGUGAAAUUCGUAGAUAUUCGGAAGAACACCAGUGGCGAAGGCGACGUACUGGACACAUAGUGACGCUGAGGUGCGAAAGCGUGGGGAGCAAACAGG